AUUAAGACCUAAGACAAUUGCAUAAACUUAUGGGUCAAUGGGUUAGAUGGAUUAGGUCCAUAAUUGGAUUAGACCUAAGGUUAGCUUAAAGAAAUGGACUAAAUUAGAGUAAUUGGUCAAAUCUAAUCAAAAAUUGAAUUAGAUUAGGUCAAGGACACUCUAGACUCAACUCCAAUAGUUGUAGUUGAAUGGGUCCAUGUCUUUAACUAGAUCAAGAUGGACUUAAUUC
RNAcentral lists this long non-coding RNA (229 nucleotides) under Elaeis guineensis (African oil palm). RNAcentral's name for it is "long non-coding RNA (EGUI_LNC061634)". The record is from RNAcentral. Lineage: Eukaryota; Viridiplantae; Streptophyta; Magnoliopsida; Arecales; Arecaceae.